Long non-coding RNA from Brassica rapa (field mustard), 1774 nucleotides. RefSeq lists it as uncharacterized. Lineage: Eukaryota; Viridiplantae; Streptophyta; Magnoliopsida; Brassicales; Brassicaceae. The record is from RefSeq and is a predicted model, not a curated record.
AAAACCGCUAGAAACCGCAACCACCCGCAUCCGCAAACGCCCGCAGCCGCAACCGCAACUGCUGCGUUUGAACCAGUCAGACCCUAAUACGUCGACGUUUUGCAUAGUGGGUUACAGAUGAGUUUAAUUAAGGCCUGGCCCCACCUUUUUGAAGUUUAGUUUCUUUAGGACUUUUUUAUAAAGCGAAAUUAUCGGCGCGUGCGCUAUGAUACGACUAACGAGCCUUGCAUUACAGCCCACGUGUCACAUCACAAAAAAACCAGAAAAUAAAAAAGGAAUUGUUUAAAAAAAAAAAGGAAAAUAAGUGAUUUCAAGUUACAAAAAGAGCCGUUGUAAAAAAGAGCCGUUGUAAAAAGAGCCGUUUCGAUAAUUUUAUUCGAUCUAUAAAUAUCUCAUCGGAUCAAUCUCUUCCAGCCACAAAAAAAAAGGUUCUCUCUCUCUCUCUCUCUCUCUCUCUCUCUCUCUCUCUCUCUCUCUCUCUCUCUCUCUCUCUCUCUCUCUCUCUCUCUCUCUCUCUCUCUCUCUCUCUCUCUCACUCACUCACUGAUCCAUCAUUGGCUUUGGGAGUUUCGAUCUCUUGGGUUUCUCCUUCUCCGAUGUCGUUCUUGACGACCACUCUCCCGCUGUAGGAAGUUCAGGUUUACUUGUUAUGUGCUUUGUCCUGCGAUAUGUCAAUAUCAUGCGGCACAAGAAAACUAGAUACACGCGCAUAUUAUUUCCAAAGGUAUUAUCUAGCCUUUUGAGCUUGUUUUAAAUCGUUUCUUUGCAAUGUGUUUAGCUAAACUUGUUUUAAAGUCUUCUUCUUCUUCUCUGGAUUUUUUUUUUUUAAAUGUUUUUGGGGGAAACUUCUAUAUUUUUUUGGUUGAUAAGAGAAUAUUAGGUGUAGAUUCAUAAUGUGGAAACAAAUAGGACAUCACCUCCAGUCAUUUGAUCGUUAGAGAUUGUGUGUUUCAUUUGCUUGAUACUUGUGGAUCACACUUGGUCAACUCCUAAUCUAUCUAGCAAAUAUAGAGGUUUUCCUCCUCUCGUAUUUUUCAAGUGUUUUUAAGGGAAGAUUCUUUUACUUGACAGAUGAUAGAAACUUUUUUUUUUUUGACAAAAACAGAUGAUAGAAACUUAUGUAUAAAUUUGAUGUAAAGACAAAUUUAGUAGAGCUGGUGAUCACUAUGAGUUCUCCCUAAUCAAUUUGGCAAAAUGAAUAUUAUUUUCCCUCCAUGUCAAAACAUCACAUAAAUUCGUUUGAUGUCAAUGUCCUGUCUGGAACCCUCAUCUAAAAUUUGUAUCAGUUUGAAGUUGCUUAUUUUCCAGAACUCUCGUUCCUUUAACCUUUCUCUUGGUGCUGGGUGGUUAGAAGUUGCGCGGAGGUGAUCCUCGUGUCUAUGGAACUGACAAAGAAUAUGCUUUAAGGGCAGCUGAAAGACACCUUUACUAUAUACACUCAAAUGGCUACCGAUUGUACCAAGUUCCAGAUAGGAAUUAAUGUUUAUGCAUUAAGUGAUAAGUACACUGAUAUUGCCUCCUUAGGACGUGAAUGUAUGGAUAUCACUUUUUCAUUUUAUUUCAAGGGUUUGGAGAAAAUGGGUAGUUUAGUGGUGGCUUCUUGUGUCCUUGUGUAAUGUGUGUGACCUUUAGCAGUAUUUUUCUAUUAUAUGCCUUUUGUCUUUCUGGGAGGUCAAAAUGAUGUGAUAGUUUCGUUUCAUCUUCCCUUUGACUAAAUAUGUUAAGAGUUUAUUUGUGCAACAUCAAAGAAAGCAAGCGUUGUGCUAGUUAUGCA